RNAcentral lists this long non-coding RNA (19862 nucleotides) under Salvia miltiorrhiza (redroot sage). RNAcentral's name for it is "long non-coding RNA (SMIL_LNC001090)". Lineage: Eukaryota; Viridiplantae; Streptophyta; Magnoliopsida; Lamiales; Lamiaceae. The record is from RNAcentral.
CAAAAUCCUCCUUCUUCUCAAGUUGACACAAGUUGGGAGGCGGUCAAUGAGUAACCUCCAUGCUGUCAAGAUGGUUUUGUGUGGUGUCUUUGCUUUCCACACCGAAUGCAGCAACUUGAAAUCCACAUUGUGAUUCGGCAGUUCAUUGUGGCUUGCUUUAAUGACGUGAUAUGCCGAGUUUGUAGAAUAUCUGCCAUCUGUUGAGGCCAACCAAAUCCAAUGGUCAUCGCUACCUGCAGUAAAGCAACAUUGAGCAAGAAAGUUAGAGAACAACUCAACAGCCUCCCUCUCACUUUCCCUAAGCUCCCUUCGCCAUUUGAACUCCCACACCCAUUCUCCGUUAUCCCAUUUCCCCCAUUCACCAACCAGCUCCUCCUUGUUAGCCGCCAACCGGAACAGCCUAGGAAAAGCAAUUCUAAGAGGACUCGACCCCACCCACUUGUGUUCCCAAAACUUAGUCGAAAGCCCGUUCCCAAUUUUCCUAAUGAUAUUGUCGACAAACCAUCUACCAUGUCCACUACUCGCCCAGCAGCAACAACUUUUGCCCACCAGCCCCCACGGUUAUAGCUAGAUCCCCUAAGCCUAAAACCAUGUUCAUCCCACUCAAUGUCACCAUACAACGACCUGACCACUCUAGCCCACAGAGCAUCCUUGCCCUCCCAGAAUCUCCAGACCCAUUUCGUGACCAAAGCGGGUUGAGCCACUCAUAUUUCUCAAACCAACCCCUUCUUUUUUAUCACAACAGAGAUCAUUCCACUUGACCCAUGGAAUAGAGCAAGGACUCACACCACCCCCCCACAGAAAUUGCAAAACGAAUUCAAGGAUUUGACAAUAGCUUUGGAAUAAAGGAGAAGAGAGUUGAUAGACCGGUAUGGCUUGCAAGAUAGCUUUAACCAAGGUAAUUCUGCCGCCAUAGCCAAUUUCAAGUGAUUCCAUCCUUCAAUGCGCUUCUUGACUUUCUCGACGGUAGUUCCAAUUUGCAAUGCUUUUGAUUUUUCCUCCAAUUUUGAUGCCCAGGAACUUAAACGGCAGAUUGCCCGUGGACAAUGCAGAACAUCUGCAUUCUCUCCACCUUGUUGUCCUCAACACUCACUCCCACAAAGCUUUCUGAAAAUUCACUUUAACCCCGAGAUCAUUCGAAGAUUUCAAAGUAUGUUUAAUAGCCUCUGCAUUUUCCUCGCGAUCUGACAACAAAGAUGGUUGUCGGCAUAUUGCAGAUGAGAUAAUUCCACUUUUUCUUUUCGACAUGGCGGUUGGUGAGCUUUCGCAACAGCACGAUCAACAAGUGAAUGUAAACCUUCAGGGCAAUGAGGAACAGAAAAGGGAGACGAGGGUCCCCCUGUCGGAGCCCUCUUUCCAGCCAAAAUCACUUGAAGGGGACCCUAAUAAGGACAUUUGCAGACGCCGAGGAUAAGCAUCCUUUGAUCCACUGCUCCACUUUGCAUCGAAAUUAAUGCUCAAGCAUGGUAUCCAGGAAGUCCCAUUCGACCGAAUCAUAUGCUUUAGCAAAGUCAAUUUUGAAGAACAUCCUCCCUUUCUCAAUCUCUUAGCUUUUCGAUUGCCUCAUUCAGAAUGAUAACACCAUCCAAGAUGUAGCGCCCACUCACGAAAGCACUCUGGUUUUCUGAAAUAAUUGAACUCAAACUGUCCUCAUUCUGCAAGCAAGGGUCUUAGCAAUCACCUUGUACAAACUACAAUAAGAGAGAUAGGUCGAUAGUCCUCCAGAGAAAGGCAUUCCUCUUUCUUUGGUAUCAGCACAAUGUAAGAAGAGUUGCGUUCCCCUGGGAAUCUUUCGUUGGCGUGAAAUUCAUGAAUAAGACGCAUAAAGUCCUCUUUAAUCACAUCCCACGAGAACUUCCAAAACUGAGAUUAAAUCCAUCCGGGCCCGGGCUUUUAUUACCUUCGCAGCUCCACACUGCUUCCUUAAUCUCUUCCUCGUAAAGGCCUGACCAUGUUCAUUUUAUCUUCAGAAGAUAACUUUCUUUUGGCGAAAUCUGAAUGUAGCACAGGCAUUUUCCUCCUUCCUUUCUUAAAAAAUUCUUAAAACUAGUUGCUGUGGCCUUCACAAUUGUUGGAUCAUCCACCCAUCUGUUCUCAUCAACAGCCCGUGAAUCUCAUUCUUUUUCCUUCGACUGACAAUGGCUUUGUGGUAGAAUUUAGUAUUCAAGUCCCUUCUUUGUACCCAUCGAGAUUUCCCUUCUGCUCAAGAAGAUCAUUCCUGUUCUUAGAGUGAAGAAAAACAUUGCUUUUGCUUCGUUCCUCCUGCACACCUCUUGCUCAUUAAGGCCGCGAGUCUCAUCAACCAUCCAACCGCUGAAGUUCUGCUUUCCAAAUUUAAUCAGGAAUCAGAUUACCAAAGAAUCUCUUUCCAAACCUUCAGAGCUGAUUUCAAGCUUUCAGUUUCUCUUUGAAAUGAAACACCCCAUCUGUGAUUUCGUUUCAUUCCACACCUUGGACAAGAGAGAAUUCGGAUGCGACACCAAGCUUAAUGAACGAAACGUUUUGGUCCCCAUCAUAGAUUUUGUAAAAAAUGAUAGGGCAGUGUCAGAGAUUGAUCUUGAAACACGCUAUGCGACGAGGCCACGUGUUGACCAUAUCAUUAACCAGAUUCUAUCAGUUUCUCUUCAUCCACCGUUAGCCUGAUACCAGUAAACUUCUUCUUGUUUGAUUCAUCAGCGCUCACGAUGAAGGAUCGAACUGCCUCAUUUCUGUAUCCCAUAGUUGCGCCGCAACCAACCCUUUCUCCCGAAUUUCUCACGCUUGAAAUCCCGAGGAUGCACAAACAAAUAUCCUUGUCUGAUUGACAAUGAGCUUCAAACUAUCCCAAAGAUGCCUUGCAGCUGGAUCACAAGGUCCGUAAACGUUGAUAAAGCAUAAACUUUCUGCUUUGAUUUUCUCUCCCAUUGAUGAUAACCGCACCCGGUAAAUCCCACUUACUUGACAAAGAGAAAACUUCCUUAUUCCAAGCGCUCAGAAUCCCUCCCGAUCUACCCUCAGAGUUUCUAACUGCAGUUUCCAGAUAAUUCCUUCCCCACCAGGAAAAACCAACACUUUCAUCCCAACAAUUCAUCUUAGUCUCUUGAAUAAAACAAAAAUCAACUUUAUGAUUUCCGAUGAUUUCUUUGACCUCCCACCUAAUGGUGGGGGUGACUUCACCGAUUCAACUACAUAAGAUGAAACGCUGCCGAAUUCAUCACUCAGCAUUCAAAGCUAUUCCAAAGUUUGAAUCGAAGAAGAGAAUCACAAAGCCAAAAAUCAGUCACUGCUGAUUACAUACAUUCUCUUAAAACUUAGGCAAAUAUUGUAUAUCCAAAGCCUAGGUAUAACUGAUUACAGAGGACCUGUUAUUUGUAAUCUAGUUGGCAAGUUUUUGAACCUCUUUUCAACCGACCGAAUUGAGAGUUUGAGUUGUAAGAAGUUCAGACCAGUGUUCUGACUCCGAGAGAUCUUAGUCUUUGCGGAAAGGCAUAGUUUUAUCUCGGUGAAGCUAAGAGUGAGAAAUUCAACCAGGUGUGUUGGUACUGAAGAUAGGAUCUAAGAGUGAGAUAGGACAGCAGUGGCGCCUUUCGCUGGAAUGCCGGAGCAAUACCGGCGGUGGUUACCGCCGUUGAUUAGCCGCGGCAUUUUGCCGCCGGUAAUUUUUUUAUUUUUAUUUUAUUUUAUUUAUUUAUACCCACAAUUUAUUUCCGUAUUUAUACAGUAUUGAAUAAGUUAGACGAACUUCCCAGUCGGUCAUCCAUCUUACUUGUGCUCUAAGUCAAGCACGCUUAACCUUGAAGUUCCUUUCGAGUAGUCACCAGUACAGAACACUCGUAUUAUCGAUAUAUCUAGUACCUAUUAAUUCAUUUAAAGUCUACUUCAAUAUACAAGUAUCAUAUAUUCAUAACCUUAGAAUAUAUCGAGAUGAUAUCCAAGAAAUGUUGUUAAUUACAGAUUGGUCUCGGUUCCGUCCUUAUUUUUAUGUCGAAAAAAAUAUUUAUUUAUUAAUUUAUUAUUAAUAUUUUUUUAUCAAUCUAGUUUAUACACCAUAACUAUUUUAAUUUGGUAAUUGUAAUGUAUUUUGAAUUUAUUUCCCUACGUUCUUAUUUUUAUGUCGAAAAAACAUUUAUUUAUUAAUUUAUUAUUAAUAUUUUUUUAUCAAUCUAGUUUAUACUCCAUAAGUAUUUUAAUUUGAUAAUUGUAAUGUAUUUUGAAUUUAUUUCCAUACGUCCAUAUUUUUAUGUCGAAAAAAUAUUUACUUAUUAAUUUGUUACGAGGUAAGUGCAAUGUUAUAUGAAAACAUGAAAUAAAUAGUUCAAAAAAACAUAAAUAUAAAAAGAAAGUGCAAGUGUAAUUUUGUUCCAAAACAUGAAUUAAAUACUUCAACCAAAUUAAAAUUAAUCAUACUUCAUAAUUAAUCAUACUAUAAAUUAAUUAAAAUUAAUAUAAUUAACAUUAAUUUUAAUCUAACAAGAUAAUAGUAAAUAAAUAAAAUGGCGAGAACGAGAGCGUACGAUGGUGGUCGGCGGCGGAGCGACGUGAAGGCAGCGGCAUCGUCGAAUUGAAACGAGAAAGAGAGAGAACGAGUGAGAUGUGAAUUAAAGAGAGAGAGAGAGAGAGUACCUGGGCGGUGGCUGGCCGGCGGCGGCUCACGAUGGGGGACGGCGGUUCGCGACUAGGGGUUGGGGGGAGGCUGGGCUGGGGGCUUGGGGGUGUUUGCUCGGCGGGUGAGAUGCAGAUGGGGAAGAAGGCCCUAAUUUUAUUACAAUUAUCGGUGGCGCCGCCAGUAAUAAAUAUAAUUACUUAAUUUAUUUAAUUUACUAUAAUACCGUCGGCACAACCGCCGGUGAUCUCCGGCGGCGAGGCUGCCAGGCGGUAAUGCCGCCGGUACUUUGAAAAAGGCGGGUCGCCUCAAAUGUCGUUAGUCGGCCACGGGUAAUUUUCGCCGGUAUUUUGGCAUUUUUUUGUAGUGUUAUAAGUUGUAAAAUUAAAUGUUCUUUUAUAAGUUGUAAAAUUAAGCUCUAAGAGCUUAUAAGCUCCCUAAAAAAUAAGUUCCUCUACCCCAACUUAUUUUCUCAUUUUCUUAUAAGAAACAUUCAUUUUACAAAAACAACUCAAUUAUGAUUUUUUAUUUUCAUCAUAUAUCAUUCUAAUUUUUUUUAUUUUCUCUCUCUAGUAAAGAUUGUCUCCCACUAACUAAAAAUUAUCUCUCUAGCUUAUAAACUCAAUUACCCAAAUAAAAGCUUACAAGCUCUUUAAAAUAAACUUAGCCAAACAUCCUCUAAGACGAUUAGAUGGAUCUUGAUCUUUCAGAUUUAAUCUUGAUCAUUUGAAAAUAUUUGAACUUGAAUCUGAACCCAAUUAAUGAAUUCAGAUUUAAUCUUGAUCAUUUGAAAAUAUUUAAUCUAACCCAUCAAAUGAUCUUAUAUAGCAAGAAUAUCUUUAUGCCCAAUUCUCAAUACAUACUACCUCCAUCGCCGAAUAAGUGUGUAUUCAAUUUGAAAAUAAAUUAUGAGUAAAAAAUUAAAAUACACAUUUUUAUUAAAUUAUAAUGAAAAUGUCCACUAUAAAAUUAUUGUGUUUAUACCAAAGGAACUAAAUUACUUUUUACAUCUCAAUCAAGGUAAUUACAAGGCAAAAAUAAUUUGUUGUUGAAAAAGUAGGUCGCCAUCUAAUUGUACUUGCAGGACAAAAAUAGUUUGUUGUCAAAAAAGUAGGUCGCCUCCCGGACAGCAAUCUACUUAGUGAAGUUAUCGCCGGGCUUUUUCGACAGCAGACUAUUUUUUUUACACAUUUGUACUUGUGUCAAAAAAUUGUACUAAGACUUUGCACAAAAAAUGAUGCAAAUCCAUCAACACACAAGGACAAUUUCGACUCUUCACUUUAAUUUGGGAAUAUGAUCAAGUUUUUUUUAUAUAUAUAUAAAUUGGACAUUUUUAAUUAGAAGUUAUAAAUAUAAGCAUUUCUACCCAUUAAUACAUAAAUUAUCAUUUUUAUCCAUGCAGUAAUCCAAAUACUUCAAUAUAUUCUCUUAUUUUUAUCAUAAUUAUUAAAGAUAAAAAGAUAAAAAAAUGUUGAAAAAUAUUUUUCAUCUCUACCUUAAGAUAAUAUUAUUCAAUAUUAAAGAAAAAAAGUAAAAAAGAGUUACUCGAGAAAAUAUUUUACUAUAUUCUAAAAAAAAUUAUUAUCAUAAUAAACAUAUAAAAAUAAUAAAAAAUAAAUAAAAAUAUGCUUUUUCUCAUAAUAAACUCACCUAAGAAUUAUAAAAAAACUAAUCUUGAAAUUGAUUUUAUCCUAUCUAGUUGUUUUUGCGAAGCAUGAGUACAACCUACAUGCAAUUCGCAGUGUGAAGUAUAAACCUCCUUUCCCACAAAGGUGAAAUACUUUUGAGGCACAAGGUACAACCCCCACUGCAGGAAUCUCUUUUUCUCUCUCAGUCUUUACAUUGGGGUCCACAUCCCAGGGCGCGCGUGCAUCUAUGGGGAUCACCAGCUGGAUCUAACGGUCAAGAUGGGGCGUUGGCUUCGCGAUUUACGAGGAUGUUGGAACUUAAACUCGCCGCAAUUGCAGCGGAUUACUACUCUCUAUUCGUUACGCUCCGAUUUUGUUUUCCCAUUUGCUAAUUUCCAACGCCGUUGACCACCGCCCACGUGUCGUGCAUGCAUUGGCUGGCGCCCAUCCUAAUGCUCGAGAGUCAGUGGUCUCGACCCCGUCUCACGACAUUUGUCUUCUAUCCUUUUUGAAGUUUUCAUUAUUUUUUAAUUUAAUUUGUUCUUAUUAUUAUUUUUAUUAAAAUAAUUUUAUACAAUAGUGAAAAUAAAACAUUGAGCAAUAAAUAACGAUAAAAAUAGAAAGAUUGCAUAUAAUUACUCCCUCCGUCCCACUUCAAAUGUCUCACUUCCCAUAAUGGAACGUCCCACUUCAAAUGUCUCAUACUUUUUUUGGCAAUCCACUCUCUCUAUAUAUUUAAUAUUUAAACAAUUUCCACCAACACACUUUAUCUACUUUAUACCCACUUUAUUUACUUUACACACAUUUCAUAAUCUCCGUGCCCAAAAGAAAUGAGACAUUUGGAACGGGACGGAGGGAGUAUAUUUUUUCAAAAGAUACUCCUUCCGUCCAUGAAAUAACUUCAUAGGAGGGACAAACACAAGUUUAAAAAAAAAUAUUAUUGAGUGUAUUGAGAGUGGAUAAAAGGUAAUUGACUGUAUUGGGAGUGGUGAAAAGAUGUUAUAAUUAAUAUUGAGAGUUGUGAAAAAUAAAAAGUAAGAGUAAUUAUAAGUGGUGAGAUAUAGUCCAAAAAUAGAUAGGAAGUUUUUUUAUGGACGUCCCAUAAAGGAAAGAUAUGAAGUUCUUUCAUGGACGGAGGGAGUAUUAAUUAUAUUAUUUUCUUAAAUAUAUAUUUUGAUGGAACGAAGAAAAUACGUAACAUGUUUUCCCUGCGUCCCAUUGAUCUUGUCUUGUUUUCCCUUUUGGGUUGUCCUGAUCAUAUUGUCUUGUAUCUAUAUUUGGUAAUAAUUUUACACUACAAAUAAUAUGGCCCUCCACAUUUACACACUUUUACUACAUUAAUUAUACUCUUCUUAAUAACCGUGCCCAAAAGAAAUGGGACGGAGGGAGUAUAUGAUUAGGAUUAGCAUUUCAAUUGUUAUUUUGUUCUGAAUCGAAAUUUUUGUUUUGCUAAGAUUUUGAAAGUGUUGCUUCGUAUGGAUCAGAUGUUGUGCACCACAGAGAGUAAAAACAACGAAAAAAUAUAGAAGACUCAAAGAAUGUCUAUCCUUAUUCACCCUUUAGAGAUGGUUCAAGCGAAGGAUAAAAAGAUUGUCAUCCUUUUUCCCUAUGAGAAGGACCGACUCUUCAUGGUAAUAGAUGAGCACAAAUUAAAUAUUGAUGCUCCUUUACGGCUCACUCGUUUUUUAUUCACCUUUGGAUUGCCUGACAAAUUUCAAGUAAUAGUUUCUCACAAACUUCAGAUCAGGCAGAUCCAAUAUCAACUUUUCAUGAUCCGAUCACUUAUAUUCUCCCUGAUAACACUCAUGUUUCCAUGGUUUUUAGUGUUCAUAUGAUGUCAAUUUUAUAAGAAAUUGAGUGUUGGAUAGUUGUUUUGUGCUUAUAUUGCUCUAUCUUGUGAAAUAUGAUACUUGCUCAAACAUUGAUGGAAUUUACAGGAAUAUUGAAUCCGAAUUUGGAAACACGGUUUGAAAUAGAAGUUGUAGUUCAUCUCGAUACGAGUUUGUGAGCGCAAACGAAUCACAAAUCGGAGUUCGAACGAGGAAGAUAUGACCGAAACAAGAAAUUUGCGCGCAAAAGUGCGACCAUCCGACGAGCGCCGGCUGAAGAACAAGUUUAGCGCCGGCCGGACCGCCAGAAACUUGGCGACUGCUGCGAUCGCUGGGAAGGUCGCGGGAAAAGGCAGAUUUUGUCCAGGAGCGCGGCAAUCGUCGGAGAGGCAGUCGCGUGUUCGAAAAUUCAUUUUUAAGCGUUUUUUCAAUAUUUUUUGGGCUUUAAACUGUAUUUUUUCCAUGUGCCUAUUUACAAGUCAUUUUCCUGACCUAUUAGACACUUCUUUUACCUCUCUUCACCUCUUUUCUCCCUUUUUUCUUAUAUUUUCAGUUUUACAUUUAGAAUUUCAUAGCUUAGGUUUAUUUUCCUACAAGAAUUCAAGCUGUCAUUCAACUUUCAUUCCGGGUUUUAUAGAAUUCAGUUUUUAUUAUUGUUUCCUUUUUCAUUAUGUUUAUGUUUUAUUUAAGAGUAAUGCUAUUUGGCCAUAAUAUGGCUGGCCAUAAUAGCUUUAAACUCAAUGCAUUUAUAAACUCAAUGCAUUAAAUACAUGAGGGGAGGGCAUUAAAUACAUGAGAGGAGGGCAUUUUUACCCUAUUAUGGCCGGCCAUAAUAUGGCCAAACAGCUUUUCCCUUUAUUUAAUUAUGCUUGGCUAGUUUCUUUAUUUGAACCUAGGGUUUCUACAUAGUUGAUUGAAUAUAUGUGUUUGAUUUAUUGAUAUCAAUUUGCCCUCCUGCUUGUGAUUUAUGAUUCAUGGUGCUUGAUUUCUUGUGAAUUAUCUGGCCAAUAGUUUGCAUGUCUAGCUGUUCAAUUUAAGUAUUGAAUGUGAUAAUUGUUCAGCCGAUUCAGGAAUGCAUUAUAUAGUUUUGCCUUGAGUCUUGAAUGUGAUAUGUGGACUAUAUGAAGCUAUUCUUUGUAUGCUAUGUGGAGUUAAUUUGUUCCUUUGAGUCUUGAAUGUGAUAAGGGGUAUAUUAAUAUACUUUCAUAGUUGUUCGUUAGAGAAGAUUAUGAACAGUGUAGUGAUAUUUCAUCAGGGCUGGAUUAAAAUUGAUAAUUGAAUCAAUAGGUUGAAUGCAUGUGUUUGAUUAACAACAGUACAUUCCCUAAGGUCAGAGUCUUUUACAUUUGAUUUAUCUACCUGAUUUUUAUUUGCUCUACUUUGCAUUAUUGAUUUUAGUUUUAAUUGUUCAUCAUCUUGGUGUUUUGCCUGAAUAUUGUUAGAGUUCUUAUUAGGAUUAUUUAGAGUGAUUUUCAUUUAUCAGUCAUUGUGGAUACGAUACCCGAGUUGCUAUUUAUUGCUACAAUUAUACUGUUAUAGUUUCAGUUUUGUUGCUAAUAUAUUAGUGAUCACUCUCAAUCAACAUCUCACAGCUCCCAUUGAGCUGAUUGCUUUUUCUUCAAUACCCUAUCCACUUUUCCGAUUGAGGUUUCUUCUCUUAUUCUUUUAGCUCACACUGAGCUGGUAUUCAUACAUUUCCCAAUCGAUACUUCACACAUUAAUUGACAAAUCCUCUCCCCUUCGAUUAAUUCCCAAUAAGCUGGUAGAUUCUUCUUUUCUGUCCCUAUCAGUUUCUCAUACACUAAUGGACAUAUCUUCUUUUUUUCAACCAGUUCCCACUAAAUUGAUUGCUUCUAUUUCUUAUGGGUCAAAUCACGGUAUUGAUGAAGAAUCUCUUUCAUCUCCUAAGAUUCAAGAAAUGCCUUUAUUUUUAUCCCCGCCUCUAAUCGGCAACCCAACAACUUCCAAUCUUAUUGAUAAUGUGACAGGCUUACCUGAUCUUACCCUCACUGAACUGGACAUUAGUUUCUUUCAUUAUUCAACUAAACCACCACUGUCUAUACAUCAUGGUCAGACUAAGCCCAGAGCAAAUGUUGAAAUCCAAGCAUUGACUGAUUCAGUCACCACACUCCAACACCAACUAGAAUCAGCAGAACGACACAUUUAUCAAUUGGAACCUUCUCAAGCCUCUACCUCAGCUCUAUCUCAACAUCUCCCUCAAACUCAACCUAUUUUCCAGUUUCAAUCCAUCCUAAUCCUUCCUCAUGGAAAUGCUUUUGUUGCUUCCAAAAAGGAAGAAGAUAGGAAAUAUAGGAAAGAUAAUAAAGUUAAGGAAUACAAGGAAAAUGAUACACUCUCUGUCCAUAAAAAAAUGUGCCUAGUUUAAAAUGACACAGGUUUUAAUAAAAUGGUUAAGUAUGUUGUGAGUGGAAUAGGUCCCACAUUAUUAUGAGUGAAAAAUUUACUAAUAAUAGAAUGGGUACAUUUAGUGUGGACGGACGAAAAUGGUAAACUGAGUACUUUUUUUGUGGACGGAGAGAGGAUAAAUGAAAGCUUACCAGAUACAUCUUAGGAAGAAGAUAAUCAGAAAGAACAGAAGAAAUCUUGAUGUUGCCGCUGAACUAAUCUAGCUCAUGCUGCUGCUGAUUUGCAUGUUAUUGAUGCUGAUCAAUGUGAACCUGUUGCUGCUACCGCUUAACUCCCUGCUACUAAAGAUAAAAUUACAUUUUUGAAGUAGAAAAAACGACAAGGAAGACCACCGAGCAAGAUAAGUCCACUGACAAGGACUUAUGGAUUUAUGAAGAAUCAUGGGAUGCAUGGUGACGUAUCAAGAGAGACUCCAUCGAGUAUUACUUCAAUAACUUUUCUCAGGAAUAUAUUGAUGAAGAGUUCAAACUCUUCGUGAAGAAACACUUCGAUACAGCCACUACCCAGAAGAUUCUCAAACAUGUUCACAAUGUUAACCUGAAGGCUCAUCCCAAACUGAUGUUCUUACCACCGAUCAUACAAAUAGCGUUGACAGAACAAAGAUUGAAGCUCUUGCUAUUUCUAUUGGUAUCCUGUCGAAGAUAGAUCCUACUAUUGAAUCUAAUCAGUAUACCCAACCCUCAUAAAGGAUUUUCAGCAUGUAUAGACAAUUGACGAAUGAACAUUUGAAUGCCAAGAGAAGAGCCGAUCCAAGUAGCAAGAAGAAAGAACACUUGAAGUUAUAAUAGAAUGUAUAGGGAUGCUGAUAUCUCAGAAUCACUCUUUGUAUCUCUUUAAUGCCCUUAAUAAUACAGUCUUUCUUUUAUCAAAGUAGCCUAAUGACAAUUGCUCUUCGUCUAGGCUCUGGCUUUCUUUUCUUUAUUCUUUUUGUUGCUUUCUCGUUUUCUAAUUAGCUUAGAUUUUGUGUUUUAGCUUUAGAUGUCAGAUAAGAUAGGUUUUGGCAUCAUAAAAAAUGAAUAAAUUAUUGGGGAAAUUGCAUAUUUUGAUUAAUACCAAAACCCCUUGAAAUGAUAGUUCAACAUUGCAAUUAGUUUUCAACCUAUCUGUUAGGAAACCGAGUUUUCUUUUUACAGUACUAAGUCAAGGAGAAACUCAAGACAAAGUAUCAACUGAAGAUCACAAAGAAUGGAAGUUGUACUGGACAUAGCUAGAGACCUAUGGAUUUGUUUAAGGUUAACUGACUGAUCGAUUGACUUGCAGCCAUAAAACAAGGAAUCCAAAGGUUAACUGGAUUCUUUUGUUCAAUUAGAAUAGUGGAUGUAGGAGCAGUUUAUUCUGAACCACGUUGAAUCAUCUGAAAGUCAGCAGUUGUACUGACUUACUUGUUCUUUCAUUUUCAAGUAAAACAAAAAGUUGUUAUUUGGUGUAUUCCCUUCAUAGACCAACAUAUACUCACUUGGAACCUACACUUCAAUUGUAUAAGCAUGAUUAAGAAUCCAAAAAUAGUAUAAUCAAUUUUUUUUGCUCAUUUCACAUUUUCGAAGAAAAUUAUUUUAAUAUAUAUUAUAUAUACGACAAAGUUGUUGUGGGAAAAUGCGAGGGAUAAGGAUGGAAAAUUAAAGAAUGACAUUUGCAAAAAUCUCAAAAAUAAGAAUUGUAAUCCUACCAUCACAUAAGUUUUUUAAAUUUGCAUUGCAAGUAAAAGUUUUUGUAUUAUUAAACUACAUUUCAUAUGAUUUAGAGUGAAACAUAUUCUUAUUACCAUAGUCAUCCUUGUGGUGAUAGUUUGAUUGAAUAUAAUUUAGAAUUAUAAUACUUUUUAUUUAAAAAUUUAAAUGGGUCCAAACAAUUAAUAAAGUUUAGGACAUGCACUAAUACAUAUAUUUUAGACAUCUAAAUGGCUAAAUCCUAAUCUUGUGUGCUCUGCUAGCCAAAUAUAAAGCAAUUUUACACUCCAUCCGUCCCACAAAAAUAUGUGAUACUUUUGAUGGGACGGGUUUUAAGAAAUAUUAAGUUAGUGGAGAAGAGUCAAAUUUUGUUAUGAGUGGAGUGGUGGCUCAUGGGUAAUUUUUUUGUGAAUUAAUUGAGAAAAUAUGGAUGAAAAAAUGUAAGAGAUUUGUGAUGAGGUGGUAUCUAAAAGUGGAAAGUGAAUAUUUUUGUUGGACAUAUCAAAAUGAUAAAUUAUUAUAUUUUUAUAGAAUGAAAAAAGUAUACUUUUACUUAUAAACUUAAACGCAAAGUGAUUAUCUAUUGAAACUGGACAUCAUGCAAUUUAUAUUCAUGAGUAUCUAGUACGAUUUGCCUUAAAAAAUAGAAUUAGAUUUAAAAAGGAGAGCGCUUUUGAGAUAACCAUUUUGAAAAAGGAAACAUACUAUUUGGCCACUAAUUGAAAAAACACUAAAUCUGACCAUUUAUUACGUGUAAAGACUAUUUUGCCCUUAAUUAGGACGGAUCAGAUUCGGGUCGGAUUCGAGUUUGCACGCGGGUUAGGCACAUAUGACACUAUUAGUGCCAUAUGUGCCAACCGAAAAAAAAAAAUCUGAGUAUAUGACACUAAUGGCAUUAAUAUGGCCAUAAGUAUCAUUCGUGCAACACUACAUAAGAGAGUAUAUGGCACUAAUGGUACUAAUAUGGCCAUAAGUACCAUUUGUGCAGCACCUUAAAUGAAGAAUGUAAACCCUAAUGGAUAAUCUAAACCCUAAAUGAUAAUCUAUACCCUAAAUGAAUAAUCUAAACCCUACGGGGAAGUGUUCAAAAUGGUCAUAUAACUGUACCCAUUAAAUAAUAUCAGGCACACAGUAUAUGGCACUAAUGACACUAAUAUGACCAUAAGUAUCAUUGUAUGCACUAAUGACACUAAUAUGGCCAUAAGUAUCCAUUCGUGCAGCACUGAGUAUAUGGCACUAAUGGCAUAAUAAUGUCAAGUGUGCCUAACUCGCGCAAAUCCGAAUCCGACAUGAAUCGAAUCCGUCCUAAUUAAGAGUAAAACAGUUUUAAAACGUAAAAAUUAGUCAAAUUUUGUAUUUUUUUAAUUAGUGGUCAAAUAUUGUGUUUUCUUCUUUAAUAUAGCCGUGCAAGUAUUAUUGUUUCUUUUACAAAAAUUGUUACUUAAAGCGUAUUUUUCUUUAAAAAUUUGGCGGAUACACGCUAAUCUGUAUAUAUAGAAGGAAAAAUAGGUACAUUUGUAUAUGAAAACUUGUGCAUAUCGAAACGUCAAAUUUUAUAUGAGUUGUCAUCGUUGGACUAAUUACUUUUCGAAAUUGAUUAUAUAAUUAUGUAUAAACAUAAUAAAACAAGGUGAAGAAACAAGAGAGGAACACACCUGCCUUUAAUAAAUUAUCAUCUUGUUGAAAGAGUAUUAAAUAUGAUACGUGUCUUUUCGAAAUUUGUAUGUCUAAUUCUGACUCAUGUAAAUGUCAGUUCCAAGUCAACAUUCGUUGUAUGAAUUUUGUAAGAUCUUAAUUUACUCCUUUAUCGAGUAAUUUUUAAUGUUCUAGUGAAAUAAACUUCUUUAUGUACACUGCGUUUUAAUUGGAAGUUCACUUUGCACAACAUAAGAACUAAGAGCACCUGCAACGCAGCUACUCGAGCGCCUCCUCGAGUAGUGCGUUGCACUCGGGUAAACCGUUGCGGGGGGAGGUACUCGAGUAAUACUCGAGUCUUCGAGUAUGCUCGAAGGGCUCCCUAAUUAAAAAAAAGGAAAAAUUGAUAAAUUCAAAUUUAAAUUACGAAUUUUGACUGCAAUUCCUCGAUUUGCGCACUUUGACCGACCGUUUCUAUUUUUUUUUCUUCUUCUUCCCCUCUUUAAAAAACCCCAACUUCUCCCCACCAUCUUCACACCUCUUAUUCUCAAAUUUUCUUCUCCAUUUUCUCCUCCAUUUCUCUUCAAGAAUUUUCUCCGUCAUGGAUCCACACAACCCUUUCUAUGAUCCAAAUUGGUGCCCCGAUCUCUCCUCCGAUUAUCAUCCCGAUAUGAGAGGAAUCAACUUGGAGGAGAUCCCGCCCGAGGAGGAACCGGUCAGUGCACAUGACGGAGGCACAAAGGGCAUUGCACGCGUCCAUGGUCGCCGACGUGCUCAGGUCGUCGUGGUCUAGACUAGGACGUAAUAUGUAUGUUUUAGGUGUUUUAAUUUUAUGUAAUUUUUUUUAUGUUUUAGGUGUUUUUAAUUUUUAUGUAAUUUUUUUUAUGUUUUAGGUGUUUUAAAUUUUAUGUAAUUUUUUUUAUGUUUUAGGUGAAUUUAAAUUUUAUGUUUAAUGGCGUAUUUAACUAACAAAAAUAUGUUAUUUAAAUUAUGCAAUUAAAUUUAAAGGAAAAACAUAAAAAUCAAAACUAAUGUUAUCAAGUAGGCUAUCAAUGAACCCCAAUGCAGCACUACCUACUCAAUAACACAACCACUAUCAAGUAGGCUAUCAAGGAACCCCAUUGCGGAUGCUCUAAGAGUGCAUUUGUUCACCUCUGAAGAAAAAUAAGAAAAAUGACUAAUGAAACCUAUAUAAAAAAUAAUUGAUCGUUCCUCAAAGUUAUUUCCAUAUGUUCUUUUUAAUAGAUGAAAUAGUUUCAUAUAUUUUCUAUUCAUUAAUUCACAAAGUUUGACUUUGAUUUAGUGUGCCAUUUUCUUAGUAUAUUUAUCUAACUUUGUAUUGAAGUAUAAGUGUCAAGUGUGGCAUAUAUAUUGAGUGAAAGGGUUAAAUAGAGAAUGACAAAUAUGUAGAGAAUAGAGAAUGAAUCUAGAGCCUUUAUUUUGAUUCAUCCAAGGGCUGAAAUAAUUAAGGAAUUGUUUAUGCAUUUUAAUUCGAAAAGGUAAAAAAUGUAAUCAUACAUUAAUUAUAACCGAUUUUUUCUACAAUUGAAUGAGAUUUAGCCGAUUAUAUAUUUGGUAAGAUUUAGUAGAUCCCUAAAAUAUAGUUCGUUAUCCAACAAAUACGACCCACUUCUUAUUUUUCCUUUAUUUUGUUUAUUUGUUAUACUUAGUUACUAUUGAAGUUUUGUUUAAGUCAACUAUUUAGUUUAUCUUAUUUAUUUUUUGCUAAAAUUAGUUAUUGAAGUUUUAAUUAAAAUUACGUCAACAAUAUAAUUGCUUAAAAUAACUAAUUAAAGAUACAUAAAAGUUCAAAUGUAAAAUAUUUUCAGUACUUAUCUAUACAAUACUUUUAUUUAUAUGUUCAUAAUUUUUUAGACCUGUUCAAAAAGGUCAGAUGUAAAAUAUUUUAUAUAAGUCAAACAAAUUCGAAUAUUUCUAUUUAGAUAUUCGUAAUUUUAUUAUGUGUGUUCGAGAUGGCUUGUGCUAAGUAUUUUAUGUCACCAAGAAAAAUUCAAAUAUUUUAUCUUGUUGUUCGUAAUUUUAUUAUGUUUGUUCAAAAAUCCAGAGCGCAACAUCAGGAACCAAAAUUUGAUCAAACAUACAAAGAUUUCUAUUUCAACCCAAAAUCAUUUCAGGAUUUUACUCUGAGAACAAAGCCAACAAGGUGAAAGAUAGGCGAGUGCAACUCAAGGCGCCACAACAAUAAUUAUGCCAGAAACUUGGUCGAGAUCCCUCCGGCCAUUGGAUGCAAUUCUUUCCAUCUCGACAAUGUUCACGUUCUGAAACUGUUGAAGGAUGCGACGAGCAACAGAACCGCUGCUCUUGCCAAAGUGAGGCGGGCGACUUUCGUUCCUCUUGCUCCCUCCGCAAUUCUCCUGAAGGAGCCAACACCAAUACCUCCCCUGAGGUAUAUCUUCCUAGCCAUGGAAGCGGCACUGAUGUAGUACCAGUCGGGAUCAUAAGGAGCAAGGUCUAUGAGGACACCAAUUUUCAUGAUGUCGGUCCACUCAUGAAGCUCCAUCUUUGCCGGACCGCUUGAGGUGCGUGGCAUAAGCUUUGACGAACUCAUAAGGAGAGGCAAAUUCCUUUUUCUUUACUCCUCUUUGUAUUUGGUUUCUUUGCUAGACACUGAUCUGUAAAUGUGUAAUGUAAAUCAAGGCCAAAGUAAUAUCAUUAUGUUCGCUAUUUUAUUUAACACGACGCAAGUGUACGGGUGCAAUUGUGUACAGUAGCAAGCAAGGUCGUAUUCCACAGAGACUAAUUAUUAUCAAUUCCUAUCCUAAAUUAUUCUACUCUAUCUGGACAAACGAAAUUAAGAGUUUUUGUUGUAAAGAACAAAAUAAGUAAACAGCAGGAAAGAAAAUAAAGCAAGCUGUGAAACAGAGAAACAGAUAAGAGAAGAUUUCCCAAGGUAAAGGUUUCAACAGAUUCUCCUAACUAACAUGUUCAAUUCAAUUAAUAAGAUGAUUCCUAAGGCAAUCUCAAAACUAGUCUAUACCCAUUCCCGUGGCAUACAAACCGUUGAUUACAUGCAAGGCUAUCGUCCCUGGAUCGCACUUCUAACAUGCAACUCCUAAAAGUUCCUAGGAUUAAUGCCCUCACAAUUAUCAAUUCCCUUUAGAAUUAAAAUAAAUAUGUUCUAUGUUCUUAGUUCAGGUAAUAAUUAUCAUCUCCUGAUCUCAAAUUAAAACCUAUGAUUAUGCUAAAUUGGUGGCCAAUCAAUAAAGCAAACAAUUGUAACAAGAACAUAAAAGGAAUAACAAUCUCAAUUAAUUGAAUCAAACAGUCAGAAUUCAAAUCAUGUUUACUCCCUAAACCCUGGGAAAAAGGGAUUCUAGCCACACAUAGACAUAUGACUAGAAAUCAAAAUCUCAAUAAAACAAAUCAAGCUGCGACAAUAGAAACAGAUAAGAGAAUCUUCAAUCUUGCUCUUGCUCCGUUCUCCGUCUCUCACAGCUCUCAGGAAAAGUAAAAUAUGAUAUAAGAUUAUAAAAGCUUGCAGAGAAUAAGUUCUUGGGAGUAUUUAUAUGCCCUAGGUCUUGUAGCUCUCAAAAAUACCCAAAAUCGCUAAAAAAAACUGAAUUUUGGGCGGAAAUACGGCGACUCGCGCGGCCACUCGCGCGGCCGCAUGGCUGGCCCGCGUGACGAAACAGAACUCCUGAUAGCUUUGCGCAGCGAUUUUGUUUUGGCUCGUUCUCCCUCGUCCGAACUCCGAUUUAUGAUCCGUUUGCGCUCACGAACUCCUAUCGAGACGAACUAUAACUUGUAUUUCAGCCAAUUCUUCCAAAUUCUGCUUCAUUAUUUCUGAAAAUUCGUUCAAACACAAGAAAGUAACAAGUUCUUGACCAUAAACGAAUAUAAGCUCAAAUAGACCAUCAAACACACAAAAUCCUCACAACUAAGCAUCAAAAAUGACACACCAAGAGGUAAAAAUGCAUGUUUAUCACAUUAGUAUAUUUCGAACAAACCUCACAACUAUUUGAACAAACUCACUAACAUAAAGAACAAACCAACAACUGUGAACAGAAAGUCCAUUUAGAAACAACAUUAGUACAUUUCGAACAGACCUCACAACUAUUUGAACAUAUUCACAAACAUAAAGAACAAACCAAGAACUGUGAAUAGAAAGUCCAUUUUUCUAAGAAAUCAAUAUCUGUAAUAUUAAGGUGAGAACAAACCAAAAACUGUGAACAGAAAGUCCAUUUAUUCUCCCUAUAUUUGUCUAAGAAAUCAAAACAGCGGUUCAGCUUAGUGAUUAAACUUAUCGGCAUCAACUUUGCAUUUAAAAAUUGCAAGCUCAAAAUAAGAAAUGGUAUUCACCUUGUGAAAAGGAAAAAUCAAAAUCUGCCCAAAUCUUGCAAGCUCAAAAUAAGAAAUGGUAUUCACCUUGUGAAAAGGAAAAAUCAAAAUCUGCACAAAUAUGGAGAUUUGGUUGAUAGAGAAGGAUAACUAAUUUUGAAUAUAAGAAUGUAAAAAAUAUAUACAUACCAUGUAUUGGCUUUUUUUGGCCUUUCAAAGACAAUAUCCAUUGCAAAUUUCGCAUAUAUUUUAGAAAUAUUUAACUUAAAAUUGCUCAAUUACGAACAAAUCAAGACAUGUUUCGAACAGGCACCCAUACCAUCUGAAGCUUUCCCAUUCCCCUUUCCAGAAGCCAUAUGACGCAAUUUUUCUAUACAGUAUAACAAAUCCAGAACUCAUAAUCAAAGGAAAAUCCUAAAAAUCAUAUUCGAUAGAACCUAAUCUAAGCCCUCAUUCUAUAUAAUGUAAUCCAUAUAACCUAAUCGAAUUUCAAAACCCAGAAACUAAGCGAAAAUCAUAUUACAUAUAACAUGAUCGGAAUCAGAAACUCAGAUUUUUGGUAUUGAUUUUCGAUUUCGUUUGAUACAUUUAAACCCUAACAAAGAAGUUUGAUUUGGAUUUCGAAAACCCAACACAAAAAUCGAUUCAAACCCCCUAAAACCCAACAAAAAUUGUUUCUUGAAGCAGCAAUCGAACAAAACUCAAAAACCCAUUGCCUUACCCGUUCGAUUUCAAACGUCCACCGCGUUGACCCCCUCGUUCACCGCGACGACGCCAUGGAAAAAGAAAAAGGUUAGUUAUUUUGCAGAGAAUGUGAGAGACGACUGAGAGGUUGAGAGAGAGAGAGAGAGAGAGAGAGAGAGGGGUUGAAGAACGUGAGGAGUGAUUUUAGGGCUUGCAGUUUUUAACCCAAAAUGUAGUUACUGUUAUACCAUUUUCUUAAUAAAAUUAUCAUUUGUUCAUUUUAAUUGGUAAUUAAAAUUGGGAUACAGAUUUAACUAUAACCGCACGAUCAAGCGGUUUUGAUGGACUAGAUUUAAUCUCUAUUCUCUAUACAUAUGAUCAUUCUUUGUUUAACUUGACCCUAUAUAUAUAUAUAUAGAGAGAGAGAGAGAGAGAAGGGUUCAACAGAGAAGCUAAAUAUUGUGGAGAAUAGAGAAUUCAUAAAAUAAAAACGAACAUAUCUAUAAUUUUAAUGAACAAAUCAAUGUACCGCAUGAACAGCAAUUUGCCCCAGGUUCGAAUCCUGUUGGUGGCAAGUUUUUCUUUAUUUUUACCAAAUACGUUUGUUCGUUAGUUAUGUUGAUCUGUUCGUAAAAUGAAUAGAUUUGUUCAUAAUGAAUAAAAAGAUAAUUCUCUAUUGAACUCAACCCUAUAUAUAUAUAUAUAUGAUGGCGCUUAAAUACCUGGAAGAAGGGGAUGUGGAAAUAGUUACAGACUUCUACUAGGAUGGCGGGAGGGGGAAGUCUUAAACCAGCCUCUACCUGGGCUCAGAAGAGGGGAAUUUUGUUCAUGUGUAGCUUGGGGAAAGGCUCGGAAGCCUUAGAAUAGGGCUCGAAUGUCAAGCCCUCAGGACACCGGCACUUCUCAAAAAGUUGCUGCAUGCCCGCAUAACCUAAUCGGGAUUCGGGGAUGGUCUUGGGCGAUUUGGGAGUGGGGGGGAAAGAUUCGAGAGAGGCCGGAGGGUCUUGGGGUGAACUAGGGGUAGAAGGAGGUGGAGAGUUAGUCGGAGAAGCUAGUGGAGAGGGAGAAGGGGAAGGGGAGAAGUCAGGCUGGGCGACGGAGGUAGAGGCCA